This 279-nucleotide unclassified non-coding RNA is filed under the name plant metagenome. Its description in RNAcentral is "partial contains small subunit ribosomal RNA, internal transcribed spacer 1, and 5.8S ribosomal RNA". The record is from RNAcentral.
UUUCCGUAGGUGAACCUGCGGAAGGAUCAUUAGUAAAUUGAAUAUGUUAGAGGUCUUCUUCGGAGUCCCUAGCUUCAAAUCAUAUCUAUAACACUUGUGUACUGUCAGUCUGUCUUGAAAACGAAAGUAAUUAGAGCGAAUGCCCAUUUUAUACGAACAUCAAAGUCACUAACGCAUUAUUUAUAAUAUCUAUAAAAACUUUCAACAACGGAUCUCUCUGCUCUCGCUCCGAUCAAGAAAGCAGCAGACAGGACGGGAACACGCAUGACUUCACGCCAC